Lagenorhynchus albirostris (white-beaked dolphin) is the source of this 108-nucleotide small nuclear RNA. The record is from RefSeq and is a predicted model, not a curated record. NCBI's taxonomy places the organism in Eukaryota, Metazoa, Chordata, Mammalia, Artiodactyla, Delphinidae.
GUGCUCGCUUUCAGCAGCACAUAUACUAAAAUUGGAACGAUACAGAGAAGAUUAGCAUGGUCCCUGUGCAAAGAUGAUGCGCAAAUUAGUGAGGCGUUCCAUAUUUCA